This 240-nucleotide unclassified non-coding RNA is filed under the name Hevea brasiliensis (rubber tree). Lineage: Eukaryota; Viridiplantae; Streptophyta; Magnoliopsida; Malpighiales; Euphorbiaceae. The record is from RNAcentral.
GCGAGAAAUAAUGGCAGGGCUGUCGUCAUACUAGUGAAUCUGAGAGCGAUAAACGCUCAAGAUCCCGAUGAACCUCCUCCACAUUUUCGCAACAACAAUUACUACCACUAGUACAGGAAAAAGGGCUUCUCAAUCACAUUCCUCUACUCAAAAUGCUUCGCUACAGAACCACUUCUCCCAUUCGAAGCGUGCAAAUGUAACAGUUGAUUAAUCGUUGUUAGGUUUAAAUUGAGAGUUCAA